UUACCGCAGCAUGACAGCUUGCGUGCAGUGGUAGUGGUAGGAUAUGAGCGAGAUGCGAUAUGUGAAGUAGAGAUAAAAAUAAAUAGUAAACAAGCGGUAAAGUGCAGUUUCGCCAUAGCAAUCAAAUCGCAGUUAAAGUUCAGGAAUCAAGUUAUUUUGCGAAUUAAGUGGUAAUAAUUAGUAGUUGGAGUUGCAAAGGUACAGUGCGGUGCGAGGUGCUGUGUCAACUAAUAGAAAAACCGUAAGUUAAAACCUAAAAAGAAAUUUGAAUGGUUGGUGGAACGAUUCCAUAUAGUUCCCUGCAUAUUUUCCCUUAGCUGCACAAAUAUUCACCGGCACCGGGUAGCCCGGAAACAAAGAAAGUUACCGAAGAAACCUACCGUGCCAGUGUAGUGUAAUCAACCGCGCAAAUCUCCCAAUUUAGGGUAACUGUACCCAUAUUAAACCACCUUGAUUUGAAAGAUUGAAAAAGAAGUCGUGGCAGAGGAAACCACUUAAUUGUAAGUUGUUAGUUAUUAAGUUUUGUGUUGUUAAUUGUAUUAAUUGAAUUUUGUCUUGAAUUUUGUUAAUAAAUUUCAGUUUAAGCGUUGCUACAAAAAACUUGAGCCGCUCUAAAAACCUGGUUUCCCUCUCGGGAACAGGGGUAAUGGCAGAAAUUGAGAUAGGUCUUUAGGAGCCUAUUGAACCGAUGUUAAAAUAAACAUGCAAUAAUAUUUUUUGUUGUGUAAACAGAUUUCGCCUUUGAAAAACCAAAGAAUUCAUAUUUCUCGGUAACAUUUUUCUCCAGCAUUUACAGAUACUAAUGGCCACAUGAAUUGUGAACGAUUUAUCACAGACAAACAGACGUAACACUCUGAAAAUUCACAUCGUACACCGAUUUAACGGUCUUUUUCAAAAUUUGAUAGUUGGCCAACUGCCCAACCGUGGCGCUCGCAUCGUUUUUGUUCGAGUUUGACGUUUGCUCACUACCGCCACCUAGUUGGUGGUCGGCCAAACAUAGUCCUUUUAGCAUUGGGCGAAUAUGUUUCCGUGACUAUGAUUUGAAUCGAAAAAUGUUCGAAGUGUUACGUCUGUUUGUCUGUGGAU
Aedes albopictus (Asian tiger mosquito) is the source of this 1086-nucleotide long non-coding RNA. RefSeq lists it as uncharacterized. The transcript is spliced from 2 exons. Lineage: Eukaryota; Metazoa; Arthropoda; Insecta; Diptera; Culicidae. The record is from RefSeq and is a predicted model, not a curated record.